UAGGAAGAUUUGUUGGACUGGAUCUGGAUGUAGACAAGGUGGAAGCGUGGGUGAGUAUUGAAUGGGGAUGUGACAAGGUUAUGGGGGUUUGGAAGUUGGACACAGGACUAAACUCUUCAUGUUCCACUGUAGAGAUUGGGCUGAGAAGGUGCUGGAAGCAAAACCAAAGAUGGAGAGGGACCUCGACCUCAGACUGGGGUGGUGGUUUCCUGCAGCAGGUGCCUUGAAUGAAGGAUGAAAGAGUAAGAGAAGGGCUAUUCGGAUUGCUGUGGUUGGAAUACCAUUACAUGCUUGGAGUAUCUUUACAUUUGAAGAGAUAGGGAAGUACUGCAGGAGGUUUUUGAAAUUUGACGAUGAUAAUAGGAGCUGGGAUAGAUUGGAUAUAUCUGGACUACUAGUAGAAGUAGAGGAUGUUGCAGACAUUCUGAAUAGAAUGAAGUUGCUAUUUGCAGUGGAAAGCUACGAAUUAAGGAUAGUUGUGGAAGGAGAAGAUUGUACAUCUUUGAUCUGGGCUUAAAAGAAUAGUGGGAAAGGCGAAGUUUCAUGUGAGGGGGAGGAAGGUUUUGAUAGUAGGGACAUAAAUCACAGUGCAGACAGUGAGAAGAUGAAGAGUUGUUCAGAGGAAGAUGGAGAUGAGGUGGGGGGAAAGAAGGGCAAUUGUGAUAUUUUGGAUAAAUUGAGUGAGGGGGACUUAAUAAGGAAGGACAUGUGGAAGGGAGACGGGGAGUAUAGAAAACCAAGGGACACAUGAAAAUGGUGGAGGUAAAGAAACAACAUGGGGGGCUGAGGGUCCUAAUGAGAUAUUAAGGUCGCAUGGGGCCCACAGGCUAAGAAGAGAUUUUAACAAUUUUCGAAGGAGCCAUGUCUCAAGAAGGAAAGGGGGAGGAUUUGAGAAAAUAGGGUGAAGAUUGGGUGUGGGUGAUAGGGAGGUUUGGGGAGGCGAGAAGAAGUUGGAGGUUUGGCCAGGGAGAGGUAUCUUUUCAGCGGAAGGAAAGUUAAAACAUCACAAGGAAGGAGACCUACAAGGAAAGAAAAUGCCAAGGAAGGUUGUUGCUACUCAGGGAGGAUGCUGCAGCCACUCAUAGGUAGUGUUUAGUGGGUUCUACACCACUAUUGUCCAGCUCUUCUCUUCUGGCAGAGGGAGUACUGGUGUUCUUGGUAAAAACACAGUCAAUAGAUGAAGGCAUAUAAUCAGUGAAUGAUGAAGAAGAUGUGAUGAGCACGAAAAGGCCUGAUGAUGAAACAGCCUGAGAAAGAGUUAACUGCUCCUAAACACUCUUAGGCUCUCGGCCAAGGUGGUGGUGGAGGAGAGACAUUCGGUGGAGCACCAUUGGAAUGAGUCUAGAGAAGAAGGGGAUGUUGGUAGGAAGAGGGAGACCACGGAAGAAGUUGGAAGGGGGGACUAGAAGGUAAUAAUGUUUAAUAGGAGAAGAAAAGUUGGGAGCCUGAUGCAGGAUCGGAAGGAGAGAAGGGAGGAGAGGAAGAGGUUAGGAAAGGGUGCCCAGCGAAAAAAGAGGGGGGAGAAAGAAGAAACAGUGAAGGGGAAAGAAGGGCCUUGGAAGGGCUCCCUAAAGGUAGUUUGGAAAUUAGUACUUUAGUUUAUUUAUCAAAAAAAAAAAAA
Nelumbo nucifera (sacred lotus) is the source of this 1621-nucleotide non-coding RNA. Lineage: Eukaryota; Viridiplantae; Streptophyta; Magnoliopsida; Proteales; Nelumbonaceae. The record is from RefSeq and is a predicted model, not a curated record.